GAUGAACGCUGGCGGCGUGCUUAACACAUGCAAGUCGAACGGGAAAUAUUUCAUUGAGACUUCGGUGGAUUUGAUCUAUUUCUAGUGGCGGACGGGUGAGUAACGCGUGGGUAACCUGCCUUAUACAGGGGGAUAACAGUCAGAAAUGGCUGCUAAUACCGCAUAAGCGCACAGUAGCUGCAUGGCUCAGUGUGAAAAACUCCGGUGGUAUAAGAUGGACCCGCGUUGGAUUAGCUUGUUGGUGAGGUAACGGCCCACCAAGGCGACGAUCAGUAGCCGGCCUGAGAGGGUGAACGGCCACAUUGGGACUGAGACACGGCCCAAACUCCUACGGGAGGCAGCAGUGGGGGGAUAAUUUCGGCACC
RNAcentral lists this ribosomal RNA (365 nucleotides) under uncultured bacterium. RNAcentral's name for it is "bacterial SSU rRNA". It matches the Rfam family "Bacterial small subunit ribosomal RNA", at positions 28 to 372 of the family's 1533-position model. The record is from RNAcentral.